UUAGCCCUAUCGCAACAAGGCAACAGCAGGAGGCCAGUCAUGUUUUUCGAUAAUGUGGUGUUUGCCGGAGUGCUGACAGUUGGCCUCAUGGUGCUGUUCUUCGUAGGGUUUGGAUUUUUUAUCUGGAGAGACGCGAACAAGCGUAAAAAACCAUAGGUUUUUCCAGGUUACAUGAGCACGCAAGGCAUUUUGGGCGACUUCGGUCGCCCUUUUUUUUG
Molecule: small RNA, 218 nt
Filed under: Pseudomonas veronii
Lineage: Bacteria; Pseudomonadati; Pseudomonadota; Gammaproteobacteria; Pseudomonadales; Pseudomonadaceae
Rfam family: PhrS
Source: RNAcentral